GUAUUAUUGCUAAGAAAAUAAAAAUCGCCUUAUAUCUCUAUAGAAGAAUAAUGGGUUUGAAAAUGUCAAGCAAUGUUCUUCUUCUAUCUUUGUUUCUUCUACUUCUUUGUCUCUUUUCUGAAAUUGGAGGGAGUGAGACCACUCACCGGAAAAUAGGUCUGUGCCUCUCAUAGUAUAUGUUUUUAUUCUCUUGUUUUAUAUUUCACUGAAUUUGCUUGUUCCCGUAAAGAAGAUGAUCAAUAUAUAUAUAUAUAUAUAUAUAUAUAUAUAUAUAUAUAUAUAUAUAUAUAUCUAUAUAUACAUUUUUGGAUGACUUUUAGCAAAUAAAUCCUGGAGUUCCACCUUAUUUACGGAUGAAUGCCAUUGACAUUAAUUAUUUAAAUUUGAAAAAUAUUAAUUAAAGAUAUUACCAACACGAUUUCGAGAAUCAUAAAUUCAUAUCUUCCUUAAUUUUCUGAGUCAUUAAUGUGAUAAUCUUUAGGAAAUAUUUCUCUGUAAAAAAAAAUCCACAUUAAUGAAGGCAUUAAAAUCGACACUAACAAUUAAAUUAUUUAGAUAUUCAAUUAUUUUAAGAUUCUUAUAUCUUAUUUGAUAUUUUUUUAAUAUCUCAUUCUUUAAUUACUGCGUUUAGAAUUUAUUGGUUGUUACCUAUUUUUUGGUGAAAUUUAUUGGUUGUUACUUAAUAAGUAAUUAUGGUGCGUUUAUUUUAGUUAAUAUCUAAUUUAAAGGAUUUGUUUUCUUUUAUUAUUAAUAAACGAAUAACAUGUAUAGAAAUAAAAGAUUUUUCUUGCGACUCCAUAAUAAAAAUAUUAAACUCUUAUUUUCUACAUUUCUUACACAUAAUAUCCUCUUAUUCAAUAACAAAAAAUAUAUAUUGCAUAUUUUUAAAAAUAUUUAUAAUAUUUAAAUUAUAUAAAAAGUUUGUAAUAUUAAUAUUAUUUCAACUCUAUACAAAUUUAAUAUAUAUGUAUAUAUAUCUUAUGGGAACCAUUUAAAAGAAAUUUUUAAAUUGACUUGAAUUAUAUAACUAAAUGAUGUUUAAUUUCACGGGACGGGUAAUAUGAUGGGACGGGUUUGGAUUGAUAUUUAUAAAAGAUAGUAUACCACAGAUGAAAUCCUAAAAUUAACAAUCAAAAUAAUCUAUCAAACAAAUUACAUUUUGAUUUUUUUAAGAAAAUAUAGCCCCGCGGUGUACCGCGGGUUAAAAUCUAGUAUAUAUAUAUAUAAAGACUAUGAAACUAUGAAACUAUAAAGACUAUAUAUAUAUAUAUAUAUAAAGACUCCUUCAAGUCAUACGUGGUCCUUUUAUACUAGCAAAGGAUCAAUUAUUAUAGAUAAUAGACUAUGAAACUAAGAAAGUUAUCUAAACUGAUUUUAGAACAUAUUAUAUUAAAAUUAUUCUAUAAUUACGCGUCAGUUUAAAACUACCAAAUUUUUCUACUUUUAUCAUAUAUUUUUCUACUUUUAUCAUAUAUUUUCUCUUUAAUAUUGAUACAAUUUUUUUUGUACAAUAAAUCAAGAAAAAUGUCAUUUAAAAAAAUUCACAAAUCUAUUUAAAAAUAUUCAAUGUAGAAUAUAAAUAUAAAUCUUAAUUUUGCCACUUUUCCGGUAAAUGAUAUUGUGGUUGCAUUAAUUUUCAUCAAAUUAUGAAAAAAUUCUUUGAUUGUUCUAUGAUGCUACAAAAUGAUCUAUGAAAUUUUAUUUUUAGUAAUUUAUCAUUAAUAUGAAUAGUUUCGUUUUUAAAUAUAUUACUACAAUUACAAAAAUUAGAAAAAUCAUGCACUGUUUGUUAAUUUUUUAUAUAUUAAUCCAUUAUUAGAAGUAUUAUUUACUAUUCAUACCUAAGAAAAGAGAAAACUAUUGUAUUAUAUCUUUGAUUCAAUGAUAAAAUUGUUAAAAAUGUAUAUUCUUUUGUAAAUAACUUGAAAUAUGCAUGUCUGAAUUUGGAUAAUGACUGUGACACAAACUAUCACUACAAGUAAAAUGGUGUUUUGCUUGCUUAUUUUGCAUAUUUGCAUUAGUCAUCAAUUAUAACUCGUGCAAAUGAGUUUUACAUCACUUAUAUAAGUGACUCUUGAAGUAGUGAUGCAAAUUAUUUGCAUCGGUUUAAAUAAUUGUUUCUAUCGAAUAUUGUAAUCUAUGUUAAUAUGCAUCACUUCAAAAAAAAACAUGAUGUUAGUUUUACAUCAGUUUAUAAAAAUGACGUUAAUAUUUGCAACGGUUAUAAUAAGAGAUGUUCAGUGUUUAUAUUAACUAUACACAAUUGAUGGUAAAAUUAAUAAAAUAAUAUUAAAUUAUUUUUAAGAAACAAAAUUAUUUAUUUUUAUCAAAUAAUAUUUAAGAAAAUGAUAAAAUUUAUUUUAGAUAAUAGUUGCUUAUUAAGCUUUACACUUUUUUGACACCAUUAAAAAGUAAGAUCACUAUAUAUAAGAAAACUAUGAAACCUCUUUUUCACUGGGCAUAAAGUGGGACGUAGAGAAAUUAAACAAACAAUUACAUAAAUUUUUACAACCGAUGUUUAAUCUUUAAUUAGCAUAGGAUGUUAUUGAUUUAAAUUUUGUAUCACUUUCUAAAUGAUGUUAAUUCAUAUAUUUGUAUUAGUAUUGUGAAAGUAUGUAAAUGGAUAUAGAUUUGUAUCAAUUUUAAUAAACUGAUGCCACACACAUCAAUAUGACAUCGAUUAUUGCAGUUAAUGUUAAAUUAUAUUUUUCGUAUCGAUUGUAAAUAAGUAAUCAAAUUAGUAUUAUUUAAUUUUGGGCAAUUGACAAAACUAACACUAAAAUAUGUUUGCAAUGUUCCACAAAUAGCACCCUAAUCUUUAAUUAAACUUUAAAUGAAAAUAAUUAAUUUGAAUAAAAUAAUAAAUAAAAUGUGAAAUUUUCCCGCCAAAUUUUUUUUGCAACGUACAAAAUUGUCCCGCCAAAAAUUUUGACGAUAUUCAGGAAGGAUUCCUUGAACCCCAGGAAUGAUUUCCUGAAGGAUUCCACAAAAUUCAAGAAAUUCAGGAAGGAUUUUACGAAAUUCAUGAAUGAUUUCACAAAAUUCAGGAAUGAUUUCUUGAACUUCUGAAAGGAUUACUUCCGAAAUUUUAUAGGAUCCUUCCUUAAUUUCAUAGAAUCCUUUCGGAAGUUCAAGGAUUCCUUCCUGAAUUUUUGAAAUCCUUCUUGAAUGUUUUGGAUUUUGUUUUGUGGGAAAAUUUUGACGGAAGUUUUUUUUUUGUGGAAAAAUAUUGACGGGAAACUUUUGCACGUUUCGGAGAUUUUUUCACGGAAAAAAUAAAUUUUGGCGGAAAUAUAAUAAAUUGUAGAGAAAUAAUUAAUAAUACCUAAUAAUAAUAAUGCCAUUUGUGGAAGUUUAAGUUGAUGUUAAUAAUACAUUGGUCGUUUUGACACCUAAUAAAGGUGAUGUUACAAAAAAAUGCCAAUUUGUGGAAGGUGAUGAUGUUACACCUAAUAAAACAUGAUUAUGUGCUAUUAAUUAGAGACCAUUUCUCUUUAACUUUUUUGAUGCAAUUGACCUCCUUUUUAGUAGUCGUAUUACUAAUUUAUAAAGCAUGAUUACAGCAUAACAAAUCGUAGGAUUUAAUCUUCUCAAAAAUAAUUUUGUUAUUAUAUUUUUCUUACUCCUAUAUAGUAUAUUGUAUUAAGAUUGACCUUUUUUUUGGUUUAAUGUUUAAUGUUAAGAUUUAAGAUUGUCAGAUUGAUCUUAUUCAUCAUUCCUGACAUAAAGUUUGCAUUGAUCCUUAGUGGGAGAACCUAUUAGAGAGUUAGCUGGUGCAUCUUGUUCAUGCGGAAGCCAAGGACUUGGCCCUGGAAAAACAGACCGUCAUCAACGUCCAUGUAAACGUCCACGUCCAUGUCCACCUUCACGUGCCCGCUAGACUCUUGAAGAGAAAGUAAAGAAGAAGAAGAAAAUAAGAUACUAGAAUUCUAUUUUUGUGCUUAAAAUUUUAAUUUACAGUUUCUUAGCUAUAAAAUUAUUUUUCUCAUAAAGAUUAUUACAGAAAAGAAAUUAAAUUCCAAUAAAAUGAAGCCGACAAUAUGGAUAAUUUAUAAUGGUUAUUUUUUUCGUUAGCUUUUGUUUUCUCACGAUAAACAUUAUUUAUACGUAUUUACUAUUUAAUAGUGUUUCCAUAAACGUUAGAAAACUAGUGUAACGUCCCGACCGCCAUCUCUUUUAAUGGGUCCCACGACUUCUCUCGGCCCGUGGGUCCACCAUCUUCCGACGGCCGGUCUGCUACGUCCGGGAGGCUUUAAAGACUUGUUUACCGACCCUACAAAUCACCACAUGAUCCUUCCCUUUGUUUUGUCCUCACUCACACAGUUCCGACAAUCACUUCCCGGAAGGUCAUCCAUCCUGAAAUUGCUCCAACUCAAGCACGCUUAACUGUGGAGUUCUCUCAGGACAGUUGACCGAAAAGAUAAGUGCACUUUGUUGAUAUAAGUGGUCAACUCAAUUCUUUUAAACCUCUCUGUAUGCACCACUAAAUUCCUGAAACCAGGGUGUUACAAUUCACCCCCACUAACAGAUCGAAACGUCCUCGUUGCGCACCAAGACCGUCACCCCUGACGGUGUGAGCCCUCUUGACUCUACACUCAACUGGGUUCGGCUCUGAUACCACUUGUAACGCCCUGACCACCACACCUUUCUUAAUGGGGCCUACGUCCUCUCUCGGCCCGUGGGCCCACCCGUGUUCGACGGCCGGUCCGCUACGUCCGGGAGGCUUUAAAGACUUGUUUACCGAUCCUACAAAUUACCACAUGAUCUUUCCUUGUGUUUUGUCCUCACUCACACAGUUCCGACAAUCACUUCCCGGAAGGUCACCCAUCCUGAAAGUACUCCAGCCCCAACACGCUUAACUGUGGAGUUCUGUCAGGACAGUUGGCCGAAAAGAUAAGUUCACUUUGGUGACAUAGAUGGUCAUAUCAAUUCUUUUAAACCUCUCCGCAUGCACCACCAUGUUCCUAAAACCAGUGUGUUACAACUAGUUCGUGGAACCCAUGAUCUUUUCUUACUUUUUGGUUCAGUGAUAGUUUAGUUGACACUAAAAUGUCAUCGUAGAGGUAACCGGGAAAGUAAAAAAUUCAUUAACUCCAAAAUUUUACUAAGUAACAAAAGAAAAAGAGAAAAAAAAAAAAAAUUUGAAGACGAGAUAUAAAAACUUUUGGCGCUCUCUUCUCUCUUCUUUCUCUCUCAAAAACCCUGACAGCCGAUCCCAAUUUGUUUGUCUCUUGUUUCUCUCUCGAUCCUUGACAGUCUCAAUCGUCAGUUUCAUUGAUCUACAAAGUUAAUCAAUCUCAAAGUUAAUUUUCCUCGCACUCUCUGUCUGUCUUAAUAUUCCCUCGUUCGAUUUUCUUCUCAGACCAAUCGCUUAGGUUUGUGUCGAUUGAUUACCCAAAUUGUUCGUUUUUUAUGUUGUAUUACCUAAAUUCGUCAUCAUCAUAUUGAAUUUUAAUGUUUAGGUAAUUUUCUGGAGUGGUUUUAUCGAGGGCUCUGUGAAAUUGUCUCAGAUUUCUCAAUGUGCUUGUGAUAUAAGAUUAUAUGAUUGAUUUUGAUUUAUGUUGAGUAAUAAUGUAUUUUUUUUGCAUCUCUAUGGGCUCUGUUUUGAAGUUGAAACAUGUCUCACCAUCGUUGAUUUUUCCUUGAUUCUCCCAGCAGUUCUCGAAGGAGACGACCGUGAUUGAAC
Molecule: long non-coding RNA, 5686 nt
Filed under: Arabidopsis lyrata
Lineage: Eukaryota; Viridiplantae; Streptophyta; Magnoliopsida; Brassicales; Brassicaceae
Description: long non-coding RNA (ALYR_LNC002752)
Source: RNAcentral